GAACCGGUUCUCAUACGAUCACCACCAAAGUUAAGCAACAUUGAGCCUGAUCAGUACCUAGAUGGGUGAGCGCUUGGGAAUACUAGGUGCUGUAAG
Molecule: non-coding RNA, 96 nt
Organism: Acanthosepion pharaonis
Lineage: Eukaryota; Metazoa; Mollusca; Cephalopoda; Sepiida; Sepiidae
Source: the annotation of a GenBank genome assembly